UGGGGAAUUUUGGACAAUGGGCGAAAGCCUGAUCCAGCAAUGCCGCGUGUGUGAAGAAGGCCUUCGGGUUGUAAAGCACUUUUGUCCGGAAAGAAAUCCUCUGGGUUAAUACCUCGGGGGGAUGACGGUACCGGAAGAAUAAGCACCGGCUAACUACGUGCCAGCAGCCGCGGUAAUACGUAGGGUGCAAGCGUUAAUCGGAAUUACUGGGCGUAAAGCGUGCGCAGGCGGUUUUGUAAGACGGAUGUGAAAUCCCCGGGCUUAACCUGGGAACUGCAUUCGUGACUGCAAGGCUAGAGUAUGGCAGAGGGGUGUAGAAUUCCACGUGUAGCAGUGAAAUGCGUAGAGAUGUGGAGGAAUACCGAUGGCGAAGGCAGCCCCCUGGGCCAAUACUGACGCUCAUGCACGAAAGCGUGGGGAGCAAAC
RNAcentral lists this ribosomal RNA (426 nucleotides) under uncultured bacterium. RNAcentral describes it as "bacterial SSU rRNA". It matches the Rfam family "Bacterial small subunit ribosomal RNA", at positions 355 to 773 of the family's 1533-position model. The record is from RNAcentral.